Molecule: ribosomal RNA, 449 nt
Filed under: uncultured bacterium
Lineage: Bacteria
Description: bacterial SSU rRNA
Rfam family: Bacterial small subunit ribosomal RNA
Source: RNAcentral
UCCAGACUCCUACGGAGGCAGCAGUGGGGAAUAUUGGGCAAUGGGCGCAAGCCUGACCCAGCAACGCCGCGUGAAGGAAGAAGGCUUUCGGGUUGUAAACUUCUUUUAAGAGGGAAGAGUAGAAGACGGUACCUCUUGAAUAAGCCACGGCUAAAUACGUGCCAGCAGCCGCGGUAAUACGUAUGGUGCAAGCGUUAUCCGGAAUGACUGGGUGUAAAGGGAGCGUAGACGGUUGUACAAGUCUGAUGUGAAAGCCCACGGCUCAACUGUGGGAGUGCAUUGGAAACUGUAGAACUAGAGUAUCGGAGAGGCAAGUGGAGUUCCUAGUGUAGCGGUGAAAUGCGUUGAUAUUAGGAGGAACACCAGUGGCGAAGGCGGCUUGCUGGACGAAAACUGACGUUGAGGCUCGAAAGCGUGGGGAGCAAACAGGAUUAGAUACCCCAGUAUAU